CUCGUUCUAAUAUGUUUAUCUGAAAGUAUGAUUUAAUUUGGAGAAGAUUGCAUCAUACAAGUCUCACCCUAUCCGCAUCACCAAUUCCAUGAUGAAAUUUUUCUCUUGGGUUGGUUGAUGCUACUGUGAUCCCCAUGGAGGCAUCAAUGAUUAAUUGUGAAGGAUAGGCAAUCAUGAAGAACUUUUAGAGUUAUGGCCAUCAGAAAGAGCUAAACAAUUUUGGAAAUGGGGAAUGAAAGAGCAUUCUGGUUGAUACUUCCUAAUACUUAGUUUAUUCAGUUGGUGGCUGGAUGGUUCAGUUCCUGCUAGCGAUCUAGAAUUGUUUUUCUUCCUCAUAUAAGUGAUUGGUUGGAGUACAAAAGAAGUAAUGCUCUGCCGAACCGGUGG
This is a long non-coding RNA of Lolium rigidum, 387 nucleotides long. RefSeq lists it as uncharacterized. The record is from RefSeq and is a predicted model, not a curated record. The transcript is spliced from 4 exons. Lineage: Eukaryota; Viridiplantae; Streptophyta; Magnoliopsida; Poales; Poaceae.